UUCAGCAGGCCCACUUGUCACUGAUAAUACAAACAGUAUGCAAGUUAGAGGUCUCUUUAGGUCUUGGUUUGCUAUUUCUUUAAAACCGCAGGAAGACUGGAUACAGUCAAGUGGGCCUCUUAGUAUGUGGUUGAGGGCUAGACCCAGUAGAAGGGUGGGGAGUGGGUGAAGGACACGAGGGACAGGGAUCAAGUGUGACAGUAAGACGACUGGACCAAUGGGGCGCCUGGGUGGUUCAGUCGGUUAAGCGUCCAACUCUUGAUCUCAGCUUAGUUCAUGAUCCUAGGGUUGUGAGAACAAGCCCCUUGUUGGUCUCUGUGCUGACUGUGGAGCCUGCUUAACAUUCCCUCUCUCCCCUCCUCUGCCCCUCUCCCCUGCUUGUGUGCUCUCAAAAAAAAAAAAAAAAAAAAAUUACAGAAAAAAUGCUGAGUGAACUAAGUAACUGACCUUGAAACGAGACGACCCUGUGUGCCCCACAGCUUCAGACAAUACUCUGAAAAUUCACCCCAACUGGAGUCUCAUUUGGAAAAGAUGGCUCAACUGUGAUCUAGCCACCUUUAAGAAUCUUUUGAAUUCUAGCAAAUAACCGCUUUAAAGCAAAAAGCCUCAAGUUUGUCACACAGCCAAUCUUAAUCAUGUGCUCCAAAACCAAAUAUUCAGCAGACACACAAUAGAGAAAGAGACCCCAGACACGAAAGACAGAGACAAAUUCAAUGCCAACAACACACAUAUUUUCCUAUUUCUGUGUUGGCCAACUGGCCAGAGGAUUCUGCCCAUCUGAAAUUCCCUCUGGUCUCCACCAAGAACUGUAUCCUUCACUUUCUCCAUUAAACUGUUUAUGACAUGCCAAAGGCACAUUUUGGGAGAAGGGUGGUAAAUAAACCUGCACUCUCCAUCGUCCACGGCACCUCUUUUAGUAGAAGGCUGCUCCAUACAUGACAAAGCCCAGAGGCACCCAGGCCAGGGGAGCAAAGCUCGGCUGCCCUUGCUCACGCAGUGCAGACGUGUCUUGUCAGAGGUCACAUCUUCAGCCUGUUUUACUACUGCUUAGAAACUACCGACGAACCCAAAGAGGUUGUGACUGGCCGGCUAACCAGGAACUAAAAUGGCCAUGCAAUAAACACAAGUCCUGUUUUCAUUACCUCAUACAGCAGCACAGUUCUGUGCCUUCUUAGGAAAGAAUGAGGGAAGGGAACAGCGUUAGAGACUGGGGGGUGGGGGAAAGGAAGACUGGUGGUGAGCAUCACAGGAUUUCUCUGCUCUUCUGAGGUUAAUUCACUGCUGGGAAGACGCCAAGCUCAACAAUUCCCAUAUGCCUCUCCCAAUCUAAGUGAGAAGACGGGUUCUUUCUCCUUGAACUGCACUAGGUCUUAGAUCAAUAAUACACUGAGUAGAGUUUCUUGGCCCAGGUCAAAGCUUCAGGUCAUGGAUGGCAUGCCUAGAUCACUAGGUUUCCUUGCUAUGCCAAGGUGAAAGGAGGAGGGAGAGAAAAGAGAGAAAAGAGUGCUAGACGAGCCGGAGGAAUAUCCAAUGUCCAGUAUCUCCAGGAGAGCCGAGUGCUGGCUCACCUACCCUGGCCAGUGAUUUGUUUCUCUCCCUUAAUCCCCAUCGACAGGGACAGACAGCACUGCCUUGCACAUGUGUUCCUUCAUUUCAACUUGGAUCCUCUGAGGCAAUGCAUGAACUAGACUGAGAGUCUUCUCCACUUAGAAGAUGGAAAGCAGAGGCUGAGUGGACCUGCCCAGGGCACACAGCGAGCAGUGGCACAGGACGGGGCCGGUGCUGUAGCUCUGUGGGUGAGUCCUCGGUGAGGAGGCCAUCGGGAUAGCUAACAGCUGUGGGAGAAGGGCUCUUUGGGAAACUUUCUCAAAGCAGCCCCAAAAAACAAGCAAGCUGAAUCUUACCUAAAUUAAAAAAAAAAUGCUUCAUUUGUUUUAUAUUUAUUUGUUCCAGAGAUAAAUGCUUAUUCUUGCUGAGCUUUCCAGAGAGAAAAGGCCCUUGGCUUCAUUUCUCAGGAAAAAGUCACCCUCCCUCUGCCGUGUGGAUAAGCCGGACUCCCUCCCUUCCAGCCCCCACCAGCCUUCAUCUCCCUAACAAUGAAGCAGGUGACGAAUGUAGCAGGAGAGACUGGGAAGGAUCUAACAUCCAUGGGGCCGCCAAAUUAAAACACAGGACACCAGUAGGUGCUUGAUGAAGGCCUUCCUGCUCUCCAUUCUCUUUCUGUUCUAACUUCUGCAUUACUGGAGAGGGCAGGUAAGUUCAUUUGGGUCCCAGGACUACGUCUGCAGAGGGAGACAAAAAUUACUACUACAUGCUCUAUGGCUCCCCCCAAAGAUGCUUGUGUUCGGAUUCCUGCAGCCUGUGACACAGAGCUUACAGGGUUUAUAAGCUGCUCUUCAGAGGACCUUGGGAUGAGGAGACUGUCCAGGAUUAUCUGCCUGGGCCCAGUGUAAUCUCAGGGGUCCUGUCAAUGGCAGAGGGGCUCGCAAGAGCCAGGGAGAUGGCAGCGCGACAAGGACUUGGAAGGAGGGGCUGUUUGUUGAGGAAGCCAGCAGCCUCCGGAAGUUGGAGGAGCAGGGAAGUGGAUUCUUCCCUAGGGCUUGCAGAAAGAACUGCACCCUGCUGAUACCCCUGACUAUGUGGGGUGUCAGCCCAGUGACUAUGCUGGACCUCUGGCCUACAGAGUCGGAAGAUAAUACACGUGUGUUGUUUCAAGCUACAAUGUGUGUGGUAAUUUGUCAGAGCAGCAAUGGAAAACGAGUACAUUUUCCAACUCAGCUUCACCAGGAAUACAGCUUAAUCGUGGCGGUGGCUAGCAUUUACCCGGGGGCCGGUCUUUGUUCUAAGUACUUUCUGUGCAUCAGCUCUUUUGUUUAUGGUUAGCCUAUGCGGCUAAGUAACUGCUGGAAGGUCCCACACAGCUGUAGGUUGUAGAGCCAUGACUUCACCUAGCUCUGGCUCCAGAAUGUUAACACUAUGAGCGUAUAAACUUAAAUUCCUGUUUUGCAUCUUGUGUCUAUCUUGGCUGCUGUUGAGAUCUACAGAAGCAAUGAACUUGCGGUUAUUCAUAUUCACCCUUAAUUUUCAGGCCCUGUCCCUUCCACCUGUAAGACCUUGGGCAAUCCCUCACUUUAGCUGAGGCUCCGAAUGAUGCUUAAAAUGGGAAUAAUGUGACCCACCCUGAGAACUGACAUGAUAAUCAAACAAAUGAGGUGGCAAUGAUGCCUGACACACAGUAGGUGACUGAUAAACACUGCUGACGAUGUCUAUCCGAAGGAUGAGAAUCUGGUCAUCCUGUCCUCAGAUUCAUGCAGAUUCAGUAUUUCCCGGCAGGAGAGAUGGAAGGAAGUGCACAGAUGACCGACAAUCCCACGGCCUGUAUCACUGGUCUUGCCGUCAGGAAUCCCGGUCUAUGUGUAUCGUUCUGAGAGCCAGGAAGAGGGUGACCAGGCCUGCCAGUCAUGCCGGUGAGAGAAACCGUUGAUGAAAAGGUCAAAUUUAGCCCAGAGAGGAGACAACCAAGGGAAGGGCCAGGGUUAGGUGCUGUCGUCAGGAAGACACUCCGUAGCUCAGGAGACCAAAGUGAUGGGUCAAUGGGUCAAAGCCGUAAGGGGGCAGGCACAGUAUGAAGGGCCGGUUGUGGACCGGAAGUGGCCUCAGAAGCACGUCCUCCCUGUCUGUGGAACUAUGAAAGCAAAGGCCGUCAGGUGGUCACGUUUCAGGGGGUUUCUGCAGACCCUGACAUAUGCCUGAUGGCUUUGGAGGCCCAACACUCCAACUCCUGACAAGUUCUUACUGUUUCUACGAGUACCAAACGCAGGCUGGCCGCCUCUGCUGGCAGGGAAAACCAGGACUCAGAGAAGGCAGAAUUCUACUGGUUUAAAGGCGGCACUUUGUGAAGGUUCCGAUUUUCACUGCUCACGGUGUAACUGAAGAAUGUGAGAACCCAGGGUCUAUUUAGAGACCGCAGGGAUCUACACCGACAGGAGCCCAGCCAAGCUGCAGACACCAACAGCUUCUACCUUCUUUGCUAGAAGAGCCGCCCCACCCAGCACAGCCAUCUUGAAUCCUAAAUGACCCAGUCACAGAGGAAAGGAUGUAAGGAGAGACAGGCCAGACUCUGGGGGUGAAAACUCGCUGACCUGCUCUGCCGGCCACGUGGUGAGGGAUCUUCUGUCUGCUGGAGGCAGGGACCACGUUACCCUGUGAGGGUGUGGUAUCUGUACACACAUUAGAUGGAGCAAAGUCACUUUUUAAAAAUUAGAGUCUAGGCCCUCGGGCACCUCAUUCGCCUGGAGGUUACCUCGGACCCUCUGAACCAACAUCCGUGGCUGCAGGGCCCAGGACUUGCCCUCCUGGUGUGUCUCUCCCUCAGUGAAGUGUGGGAACCACCGGGCUGGGAGGCCUCCAAGCACAGUGGCACCUCACCCUGUCCGGCUGUGUGUGGGGAGUCUGGGGCCUGAGAAGGUAAAGGUUAUAGGGGAGGUGAGGUUUGGUUUGAGAUAAAAAGGGAAACAGAUGCCGGGGGGGGGGGGGCAGGAAACCAGGAGUAAAAUGUUUCCUGAGUUAUGGUUCUAUCUUCCCGAAGAAAAAAAAAAAUCCCCCCAGCAGAUAAGCUUAUUAAUGAGAAGUUCUGCCUCAUUUCCUAGAACCUACAGGAGUAACUAAGAUGUAACAGGCACCAAAUAUUUGCUGAGCGGAUGAAUAAAUGAAAAUAAUACUGAAGGCUGAGGCAGGUACAUUGAACGCCGUAUCUAGUUUCUCUUAGGAUGAGGCCAAUCGAAGGCCUUCAUGAGCCGGGUCAAGGCGAUCCCAUUGCACCUUAUGAGGGCCCCUGAGGACACAGCCGAGCUGCUAAAAAAAAGACUCUCCCCAAACUGUCCCUUUCUGCUCACAGGCCACGAAGAGUGUGGUUAUUUUAAAAAAUAGAAUGGACGGGGGCGCCUGGGUGGCUCAGUCCAUUAGGUGUCUAACUUUGGCUCAGGUCAUGAUCUCACGGUUUGCAGGUUCAAGCCCCACUUCGGGCUCUGUGCUGACUUUUCAGAGCCUGGAGCCUGCUUCAGAUUCUCUCUCUCUCUCUCUCUCUCUCUCUCUCUCUCUCUUCCCCCACUUGUGCUCUUUCUCAAAAAUAAAUAAAAGUUGAAAAAAAAAUAACAGGAUGGACAAAGCCACUUGCUGCCUUGUCACCAAGAGACACCCUUUGGUCCUGGGACAGAACUCUUACACAGAGGGCAGCAGACGCCCACGCUCACUGUCCCAGCUGGCACUCCCGUGGGGAGUGGCGCCUCUGUGGCGGGGGGCAGGCAUGGCCCGGCUCCAAGACCGGCCUCGAUACCCACCUUCGCCUGCCGCGGGAUCAGAGACACACGGGUAAACGGCGGCUCCUUCCCCUUCCGCACGGAAGGCGGGACAAAGAUCCAGAGGCGCGGUCUGGGUGAAGUGACUGCUCAGGGGGAACGCGGCCACCCCUCUGUCCUUCCACAGAUUCCAGGCCCAGCAAGGGAAGCAGACAGACGGCCACCGGGGGGCCUAGGAGUCUCUCAUGCACCUCACUCCCUGCCGGCAACAUUCUCCCUCCCCAAAGGCCGCCCCGCCUCCUGGUCUCUGCACGGGCAGGAGGAACGACCCACCGUGCUCUCUAGGAACCAAAGGCACCCGCUUCCUUGCGUUAAGCACCCCCUCCUCCCCUGGACAGCACGAGGUUUGUCCCCGAGCUACAACAAACCACCACCGAAGACGGGGAGACUGCCUGCAGUGCGCUCACUGAACAUCUGCUCGGAGCCAUCGGGCGGUGAAAGCACAGUGGCUUUGCGGCUUAGGAAACAGCAAACCGUCUACACUGCGCGAACCUACUGAGGCUGCCACCCUGCCUCAAAGGAGCUCGGACGCGGUCUCUGGCUGGCGCAGAGAAGACUGUGAGGAGGCAGAAUUAGGCAAUGACACAAGCACUAGCCUUAUUAGCUAAUCACAACCCCAGGGCAUUAGUGACACACGGAGUGACUCUUCUCCCAGGGGACCAAUUAUUCCACAGUUACGUCUCCUCCCUUAACUUUCAAGUUGUGGGGGCGGGGAGGAAUGACAGGGUAGGGGGAGGCUGCUGCUAUCAGAAAAUGGUGUUAAAAGGGUCUGAGGCGGUCCGAUGUCACUACCUGAUGGUCUGUAAUGGCCAUAUCCUCCGUCCCAUUUUCUUCUCCCAGCACAUUGCCUCACCUCAGAAGGACAGUUGACGAUGCGGCUUCGGGCGACACCGGGCCAGACAGGCCACCCUGGUUCUCCUGGUUCUCCGGAAGAUGCGCAGGAAGAACUCUCUCUCAGUCUAGAGGGCUGGGUGAAGCAAGCCCCUCGUCUGGACCCUGACUGGCUUUUGAGGCAUUAUUCCUAGGAAAGCACACACUGGAAGGUGAGAAAGCGGUGCAGAAAUGGAAGCGGAAAUGGUUUCCUUCAUUUUAAUUCUUUUUUGCAAAUGCUUGUUGGGAGUCCUCGCUAGUUGACAUUUCUUCACUUUAUUUAUUUUGAGAGACACACGUAGAAAAAAAAUGUGUGUGCCAGCAUGGGGAGGGGCGGAAAGAGAGGGAGAGAGAGAAUCUCAAGCAGACUCCACACUGUCAGUGUAGAGCCCGAUGUGGGGCUCGAUCCCACAAACCGUGAGAUCGUGACCUGAGCCAAAAUCAAGAGCUGGAUGCUUAACCGACUAAGCCACCCAGGUGCCCCUCACUAGUUGACAUUUCUAAGGAAGAAACUGGCUUCAUUAGUUGUCAGCAAACUUGGGUACCUCCUUGUCUUGCCUUGUUUGUAGUGUCCUCCCAGUCCCAAGAAGACAGACACUGAAGAAUGAAGGUGUAAUUUGGGGCUGCGAGUUUGAAAAAGUCCGUUCAUGUAAACUCAGUAAAUACGGAUCUAAUAAGAAGGGAGCAGAGAGAAAACAACCUGUCUUCCCUUCCGACGAUAUUCUGCUAACGAUUUACGAAAAUACAAGUACUUGGAUGGCUCCAGAUGUUUGUUUUUACAGAUGGUCAUCAACACAGAUUGAAAAAAACAAAUGUGGAUUUCCUCACAAGAGUGAGAACAUGUAAGUGGAAAAAUCCAGAAACACAAUUCCAGUUCUCCCAGAGUUCCUGCUUUUGCAUGUUUCGCGGUAGCAGGAUUGUCGUCACAUCUGCUGCUAAUCGCCUGUGUUUCCUCAGCCAAUCAUUAACUAACCCUGCGGGCUUCCGUGUGGAUCAUGCGUGAGGCGCCUGGACAGAUUAUCCUGAAGACUCCUUGAAGCUGUCAGACCUGUGUAUUCACUUGUAGGGUGUGGCUAUUCUGGGAUUACUGAGGAACCGGAUCAUGGUCCGAGGUGCACCAACACUGCAAUAAAUUAGUGGCAGAAGAUUUUCACAAGAGGAAACAGGAGAAGGCACUUCAGGCAGAGAAGCCAGCAGAAACAAAGGCCGACAGUGUCUGGGGAGGAUGAAGACCUGCCUGAUCCAGCUGCAGGGGGGCGGUGGGGGGGGGGGUCGUGCUGGCAGGGAAGCGUGGAGGCAGACCAGGGAGCGCCUUGAAUACCACGCCAAUGCCUCCAUCUGCCUUCCUCUCGACUGUGUGUGAACCACGCGGAAAGUGUCCGACGGAGCUGUUUUGUGUCCCCGACAGCGUGCAAAAUGGACGGAGGGCAAGCGUGAAGCUGAAGGCCGUUCUGAUGGCAGGAAGAGGGCAAAAUCGCGGCUUCACCCGGGGUAGCGGGACCAUACGAUGCUCCCGAGAAGGCACCAGAACGGCCUGGAUGCGCGGCUGAUGAGACGCACAACGAACCCAGAGGCUGGUUCAAGGCGGCUGGCCGAGGAGAGGGGAGUGGGAUGAGGGAGGGCAGGGGGAGGUCUGGACGCGUGGAUGACAUGGAUGGGCAGACCCCCGGGGUCGUGGGGUCAGGGUGGCAGCCUCGGCAGAUGGCCUUUCCUGGCCCCUUCGCCUUAAUUCCACCUGUACUCCUGUCCCCUGUGCGUGACGGCUUGGCGGGCGGAGGGGUGGGGCCCAAACCACCAAUGUGGGCUAAAUUGGCCUGUGAAUCGCACCUCCUCACCUGACACGGGUCCCCCAGGGACAUGCGCAGGUACACACACGGGGGACAGACACCUCUCGUCACCCCGAAAGCCUCUGGAGUGACCCCGAGGAUAACUCCUCGUUUCCCACUCGGCUUUUCUCCACUGCUGCCCCGGUGAAAGGGGUGUGUGACACUGAAGGUCACCACGCACGGGUCCUUCCCACGUGAUGACCUCCGGAAGGGAGGCUCACACGGAAAGACUUCCAGGCUCCGUGAACCUCAAACAGUCCACAAGGAGGUGCCACCGUGUCCUGGGGACUUUGUGUCUGUCACAGCCUUCAAGGAGGCAGGUAACGUCUGGAAGACGUGGGGGAUAAAAUAUUGCUAGAAUUUAAGGGGAAAACUAUUUGAAAAGCCAACGGUGGAAAUGGGGGGG
This is a long non-coding RNA of Acinonyx jubatus (cheetah), 8459 nucleotides long. RefSeq lists it as uncharacterized. The record is from RefSeq and is a predicted model, not a curated record. NCBI's taxonomy places the organism in Eukaryota, Metazoa, Chordata, Mammalia, Carnivora, Felidae. The transcript has 3 exons.